UUGGGCACUCUAGAGAGACUGCCGAGGACAACUCGGAGGAAGGUGGGGAGUGACGUCAAAUCAUCAUGCCCCUUAUGUCCUGGGCUACACACGUGCUACAAUGGCUGGUACAAAGAAGACGCAAGACCGCGAGGUGGAGCAAAUCUCAAAAACCAGUCCCAGUUCGGAUUGCAGGCUGCAACUCGCCUGCAUGAAGUCGGAGUUGCUAGUAAUCGCAGAUCAGAAUGCUGCGGUGAAUGCGUUCCCGGGCCUU
RNAcentral lists this ribosomal RNA (253 nucleotides) under uncultured Eubacteriales bacterium. Its description in RNAcentral is "uncultured Clostridiales bacterium partial 16S ribosomal RNA". It matches the Rfam family "Bacterial small subunit ribosomal RNA", at positions 1131 to 1382 of the family's 1533-position model. Lineage: Bacteria; Bacillati; Bacillota; Clostridia; Eubacteriales. The record is from RNAcentral.